GAUGAACGCUGGCGGCGUGCCUAAUACAUGCAAGUCGAGCGAACAGACGAGGAGCUUGCUCCUCUGAUGUUAGCGGCGGACGGGUGAGUAACACGUGGAUAACCUACCUAUAAGACUGGGAUAACUUCGGGAAACCGGAGCUAAUACCGGAUAACAUGUUGAACCGCAUGGUUCAACAGUGAAAGACGGUCUUGCUGUCACUUAUAGAUGGAUCCGCGCCGCAUUAGCUAGUUGGUAAGGUAACGGCUUACCAAGGCAACGAUGCGUAGCCGACCUGAGAGGGUGAUCGGCCACACUGGAACUGAGACACGGUCCAGACUCCUACGGGAGGCAGCAGUAGGGAAUCUUCCGCAAUGGGCGAAAGCCUGACGGAGCAACGCCGCGUGAGCGAAGAAGGUCUUCGGAUCGUAAAACUCUGUUAUUAGGGAAGAACAAAUGUGUAAGUAACUAUGCACGUCUUGACGGUACCUAAUCAGAAAGCCACGGCUAACUACGUG
This 497-nucleotide ribosomal RNA is filed under the name uncultured bacterium. Its description in RNAcentral is "partial 16S ribosomal RNA". It matches the Rfam family "Bacterial small subunit ribosomal RNA", at positions 28 to 507 of the family's 1533-position model. The record is from RNAcentral.